GAGAUACCAUAGAGGAGAGAACGCUAGCACUCCCCUUGUUAAGGAUGGAAGAGGUCCUACUGGCCUUUACAACACAUAUACAGUUAAGGCAGUUCUGUACAACAUACAGCCCAUGGACCACUUUGA
This 126-nucleotide non-coding RNA is filed under the name Phascolarctos cinereus (koala). The record is from RNAcentral. Lineage: Eukaryota; Metazoa; Chordata; Mammalia; Diprotodontia; Phascolarctidae.